UGCAUAUCCAAAAAGCGGAGGAAAAGAAACCAACCGGGAUUGCCUUAGUAACGGCGAGUGAAGCGGCAAAAGCUCAAAUUUGAAAUCUGGUACCUUCGGUGCCCGAGUUGUAAUUUGGAGAGGGCAACUUUGGGGCCGUUCCUUGUCUAUGUUCCUUGGAACAGGACGUCAUAGAGGGUGAGAAUCCCGUGUGGCGAGGAGUGCGGUUCUUUGUAAAGUGCCUUCGAAGAGUCGAGUUGUUUGGGAAUGCAGCUCUAAGUGGGUGGUAAAUUCCAUCUAAAGCUAAAUAUUGGCGAGAGACCGAUAGCGAACAAGUACAGUGAUGGAAAGAUGAAAAGAACUUUGAAAAGAGAGUGAAAAAGUACGUGAAAUUGUUGAAAGGGAAGGGCAUUUGAUCAGACAUGGUGUUUUGUGCCCUCUGCUCCUUGUGGGUAGGGGAAUCUCGCAUUUCACUGGGCCAGCAUCAGUUUUGGUGGCAGGAUAAAUCCAUAGGAAUGUAGCUUGCCUCGGUAAGUAUUAUAGCCUGUGGGAAUACUGCCAGCUGGGACUGAGGACUGCGACGUAAGUCAAGGAUGCUGCAUAAGUU
RNAcentral lists this ribosomal RNA (586 nucleotides) under Saccharomyces cerevisiae (brewer's yeast). Its description in RNAcentral is "eukaryotic LSU rRNA". It matches the Rfam family "Eukaryotic large subunit ribosomal RNA", at positions 37 to 636 of the family's 3401-position model. Lineage: Eukaryota; Fungi; Ascomycota; Saccharomycetes; Saccharomycetales; Saccharomycetaceae. The record is from RNAcentral.